CUCAUCAGAGCCUCUGGAAGUGGAUUGGUAUCCCCUCUGCUCCCAGGAAUCCAGUAAAAGUAGCAUCUCUUCCUCAAAGAUGAGCCAGCCGUCAUUUGAAGAGGAGGAAAGACUGGAUUGGGGAAGAAUCUGGGGCAAAAUGAAGCCAAAUUGAGAACGAGGAGAAAAGAAGAUGCUAAGGCCGCAGAUAAGGAGGUCUUGAGUGUUACAGCUCUUUUUGAAUUUGUCUAGCAUGCUUUCUGCUUUUUACUGGAAAGUGCCCCCCCCCAAAAAAAUAAAAACGAAUAAAUAAAAAAGAAAGAUUUAAAAAAUAAAAGAGAAA
Molecule: long non-coding RNA, 322 nt
Filed under: Homo sapiens (human)
Lineage: Eukaryota; Metazoa; Chordata; Mammalia; Primates; Hominidae
Description: HSALNT0393299
Rfam family: U7 small nuclear RNA (bases 201-262)
Source: RNAcentral